RNAcentral lists this transfer RNA (72 nucleotides) under Bos taurus (domestic cattle). It matches the Rfam family "tRNA". From Rfam's summary of the family: Transfer RNA (tRNA) molecules are approximately 80 nucleotides in length. Their secondary structure includes four short double-helical elements and three loops (D, anti-codon, and T loops). Further hydrogen bonds mediate the characteristic L-shaped molecular structure. tRNAs have two regions of fundamental functional importance: the anti-codon, which is responsible for specific mRNA codon recognition, and the 3' end, to which the tRNAs corresponding amino acid is attached (by aminoacyl-tRNA synthetases). tRNAs cope with the degeneracy of the genetic code in two manners: having more than one tRNA (with a specific anti-codon) for a particular amino acid; and 'wobble' base-pairing, i.e. permitting non-standard base-pairing at the 3rd anti-codon position. RNAcentral also lists the same sequence under 5 other names. Lineage: Eukaryota; Metazoa; Chordata; Mammalia; Artiodactyla; Bovidae. The record is from Rfam by way of RNAcentral.
UCCCUGGUGACUCAGAUAGUAAAGAGUCUGCCUGCAAUGCAGGAGACCUGGGUUCAAUUCCUGAUUUGGGAA